AGCGAACGCUGGCGGCGUGCCUAACACAUGCAAGUCGAACGUGAAAGGGAGCACUCCCAAGUAAAGUGGCGUACGGGUGAGUAACACGUAGGUAAUCUACCCCAGAAUCUGGAAUAACCGGCCGAAAGGCUGGCUAAUACUGGAUAGAGCGACGGAAUCCGUAAUUGGGUUUUUCGGGAAAGGGAGCCUGUAAAAAGGCCUUCGUUCUGGGAUGAGCCUGCGUCCCAUCAGCUAGUUGGUGAGGUAAAAGCUUACCAAGGCAAUGACGGGUAGCUGGUCCGAGAGGACGGUCAGCCAAACUGGAACUGAAACAAGGGCCAGACUCCUACGGGAGGCAGCAGGGGGGAAUCUUGCGCAAUGGACGAAAGUCUGACGCAGCAACGCCGCGUGAGGGAAGAAGGCCUUCGGGUUGUAAAGCUCUGUCGAGUGGGACGAAAAUGCUUGGAGUUCACAGCUCCAGGAACUGACGGUACCACGAAAGGAAGCACCGGCUAACUCCGUG
RNAcentral lists this ribosomal RNA (502 nucleotides) under uncultured bacterium. RNAcentral describes it as "partial 16S ribosomal RNA". It matches the Rfam family "Bacterial small subunit ribosomal RNA", at positions 29 to 507 of the family's 1533-position model. The record is from RNAcentral.